This 1794-nucleotide unclassified non-coding RNA is filed under the name Eurytemora carolleeae. RNAcentral's name for it is "uncharacterized LOC111708145". Lineage: Eukaryota; Metazoa; Arthropoda; Copepoda; Calanoida; Temoridae. The record is from RNAcentral.
AGUUUGUAAAAUGUUCUCUCUGAACAAGUUGUAUGAUCUGAAGAGAGGAAGAUUUGCAUUGCUGAUAAUUUACCAAAUUCCCAUCAUUUGUACACAGAAGCCAGUAGUCAAUUCAACUGCUAUAACCAGCAACUUAACAAAGGCUAAUUUAGAAGGAUCAAAAAACCCGGAAAAUGUACCCAAAGCAACGCAUGUGAAUGCCACCCUCUUGCUAAGUCCAGGAAAUUCAACAAGAGCUAAUCCAAGAAAUAUUACCAACACAAAUCUGGGAAAUUCAACCAAACCAAAUCCAGGAAACUCAACCAAAUCAAAUCUAGAGCAGGCAACCAACCUGAAUGCAACAUUAUUAAACGAAACAAAGCUGGUGAAUGUUUCAAGCCCUAAAACUAGAAUGAAUGCUGGACCUAGACGAACAAAUGUCCUUAUUCCACAAAUAAUUUCAAGAAGUCAUGGGGGCCUUCACAAUAUUUCAAAUCAUAGAGUGUGCAAUUCUCUUUCUGAUGUAUUUGACAAUUGUAUGGCUCAAGUAAUCUUAGCAAUACGACAGUGUUCAGAUGUGAAUGAUUUUGCUGAGGGCAACUGUUCUGCUCACAUUAUUCUACCAGGAAAGACGAGGCCAUGGCAAAAGAAGGUGCCGCACAAACGGAAAAAGAAGAUCUUACAUCAUCGAAAACGAAAAUGUAAAAGUGUUGAUGAAGUACUUCGUGGAGAGUGUCCAACAGAGCUAAUACCAAACUUAAAGGAGUGCAAUAGUGUUAAAGAUUUUGCAAAAGAAAAUUGUAGAGCUGAGCUAAUUCUAGAUCAUAAGUGCCAAAGUGUUAAUGAAUUGAUGAAAGAAGAAUGCGGAGCACAGAUUCUACCUUCGUCAGAGUGCACAAGUGUUGACCAAUUUGCGAAUGGAAAUUGUUUAGCAGAACUUUUAUCUGAUGAACCGGAAUCACUAGAACAGUGCCAAAAUAUUGACGAUAUGAUGACUGGAAAUUGUAUGGUAGAGAUUAUACCUAUAAAAUCAAAACGCCAGUGCAACAAUACAGCGCAGUUUGCGAAUGGAGCCUGCUCUGCCCAACUUAUACCUGCUGUAAUGUGUGAGAAUACAGAAGAUUUCGCGAGAGGAACCUGUGCGGGACAGCUCUUACUUGGACAAAUUUGUGAGAGCUUAACGGAAAUGUCGCUUGGAAACUGUUCUACCGAGUUAUUGUUGGCAAACAAGUGUCGCGAUAUUUCUGAGUUUAGUUUAGGAGAGUGUGCUGCUGAAACAAUACCAGGCUAUCAGGGAACAUGUGAUGACUUUACAAUGCUCGAUGAAAGGGAAAGUUGCACGGCUUCCAUCAUAGCAGUUGAUAAGAAAUGUGUUUGGGGACAACCAUGCGAAAAACCAAAUCAAGAGAUUUGUAGGACCUGUUCGUCUCCUGUACAAGUUGAUCAUUACACUAAGCUGGCCCCUAAAUCCUACUGCGAGGGAGAUUUAUCUCUAAAAACUGUUCACGGUCUUAAAUGCAAGGUUAAGAAUGGCACUAGUAGUUGUAUGGUCGGUGGAGAGGGAUAUUCAUUUUGUGAUACAGAGUUCCUUUUUUUCAGAGCUGGGCACUGGCAAGACUGGGAUCUCUGUUCAUUAUGUACGGAGACUGACAGGAUGACACGUAACUCUUACUGCUCAUGGACUCAGCUGUGACGGGGAGUGUUCUUCAAAAUGGAAUAACAAAGAAAUAGCUUCCCCGAGAUGCAGAGUCAAAGAAAGAUUAGAGAAUGAUCCUGAAUUUGACUACUGUACAACGUGUGAUUCUACAUUGGACG